Molecule: RNA transcript, 2125 nt
Organism: Capra hircus (goat)
Lineage: Eukaryota; Metazoa; Chordata; Mammalia; Artiodactyla; Bovidae
Gene name: dehydrodolichyl diphosphate synthase complex subunit NUS1 pseudogene
Exons: 3
Source: RefSeq, a predicted model, not a curated record
AUGCCGCUGACGGAGGCCGAGAGGCCCCAGCGAGGAGGGGAAGUGUUGAAAGCUUGCAGACAGGAAGUGCCAGAUGUCAACAGAGGCGCGGCCCACAGGGACCAGGAAGAUGGCCCGGGCCCACGCGGCGUGGACGAGAGUCACUCCCUGCGCCCCAGUCCCGAGUGGAAUGUGGACAGCAGCCACAAACCCCUAUGUACUAGCGGGGGCGGGGCUGCCGAGGCAGGAGGAAGAUGGCGGCGGGGGCGAGGUAUUUUCAAAAGAAAUAAUUCCAGAUUGAUGGAUGAAAUUUUAAAACAACAGCAGGAACUUCUGGGCUUAGAUUGUUCCAAAUACUCACCAGAGUUUGCAAAUAGUAAUGACAAAGAUGAUCAAGUUUUAAAUUGCCAGUCGUCAGUGAAGGUGCUGUCCCCAGAAGAUGGAAAAGCAGAUAUUGUAAGAGCUGCUCAAGACUUCUGCCAGUUAGUAGCCCAGCAGCAAAAGAAAUCCACAGAUUUGGAUGUAGAUAUGUUAGACAGUUUACUUAGUUCAAAUGGUUUCCCUGACCCUGAUUUAGUAUUGAAGUUUGGUCCUGUGGACAGCACACUAGGCUUUCUUCCCUGGCACAUCAGGUUGACUGAGAUUAUCUCUUUGCCUUCCCACCUAAACAUCAGUUAUGAGGACUUUUUCUCUGCCCUCCGUCAGUAUGCAGCCUGUGAACAGCGUCUGGGGAAAUAGUGAUUUGCUGGUCGUGUGAUUUGAUUUCAGGCUUUUGGAGAAAAGGACUCAAGUGACUGUGAUGUUUACAAAGCACCUAUGAAACCCUGUACACACCUAGUUCAUAAUCCUCAUAAUUUAUCAACAAACACAAAAAAGUGUCUUACUUGAGAGUAAGAGAAUGUGUGAGCGAGUGUGUGUGUGCGCGCGCGUGUGUGUGCAUGUGUGUGUGGAAAUAAACUUAUAAAUGAGGAAGUAGUGGAGAAGGAGACGUGGUGAGCUUGUACCUUUGAGCAGAUUGCAGCAAUGUUUUAGGAGCUGAAAUUUCAGAUUUAAAGGCUUCAGCCCUAACUACUUCCCUGUUUUUCUGGGGAGAGAAAGGGGCAAUUAAAGGUAUUUUGUUGUUUAGGGGGGUCGGGGAGUAAUUUUUGUUCAGUUUUUCCAAGUGACCAAACUUUAAGUUUUAAGAAUAAUAUAUUGACAUAUGAAAUGGAAGCAUUCUGAGUUUGAGGGAUGGAGUUCCGUGUUGUUCACAUGUUAAAAGUUUGCUCACCUUUGGAGCAGAGGGAAUACCUGUUUUCAGACAUCCGUCCAUUUUCAUCUCUUCAUUAUUAUCAAUGUGACUUGAAAAUGUUGCUCUGUUGUCUGUGUUCUGGGUUGUGAAGAUCAUUUGAAAAAGAACUUACAUUGGAAAACAAUUUUAAAAUUUUUAAAUAUUGUAUGAGACAGUCAAAAAAAAGGUAAAAAGUCAUAAUCUGAAAAGUAAAGGUGGAAAGUUUCCCAAAUAAGUAGAGAAAGUUUUGAUUUCCUUUUCCAUUUGGUGGGCAGUUGGCGAGAUAGUACCCAGAGUUGGUUUAAAAAAUAUUUCCAUUAACUAUGUUUAUUUAAAAUAAGCAUUUGAGGGAAGUUACCAAGGCAGCUCUUUUCCUCAAAAGUAACCUGUUCCUCUUUGGAAUAGCACAUGUAGGGCCAUGUUAGUACCCAGGAUUUUUACUGAGUAAAUCCUGAUGGUAACUUUGUAUUGAAAGAUCUUUAAGUGAGAUUGAGGCCUGUGUAGGUAAUAAAAUAAUGCCACAGUCUACAAAAGUAAUUUAAUUUUGCAUGUUCUCUUUCAUGGCAGAGAACAGCACUGGUUUUGUUAUUUUUUAAAUGAAUAGAUGAUUUUUUGAUAGGUGUUUAGUAGUUCUCCCCUCUCUGCUGAUACCUGGACAGAAACCAUUCUUUAUAUAUUUGAUGGACAGUUUUCAGAAGAAUCUUAUCAACAGCAAGUGCACAACAGUUAUCCAGAAUGAUACGUUUAGGACGGAGUAGUUUUAAAUACUAGGUCUCAGUCUGAAAAACAGCAGAGAACACUGGAUUUGGAAAGCAAGGUCUAGAAUUGCUUGUCAGAUUCUGAGUCUAUGAAGAAUAAAUGUUUUGACUUUGGAUU